UUGACCUCAAAUCGGGUGAGACUACCCGCUGAACUUAAGCAUAUCAAUAAGCGGAGGAAAAGAAACUAACAAGGAUUCCCCUAGUAACUGCGAGUGAAGCGGGAAAAGCUCAAAUUUAAAAUCUGGUGGCCUUUGGUCAUCCGAGUUGUAAUUUAGAGAAGCGUCUUCCGCGCUGGACCAUGCACAAGUCUCCUGGAAUGGAGCGUCAUAGAGGGUGAGAAUCCCGUCUUUGGCAUGGAUGCACCAGGGCUUCUGUGAUGCGCUCUCGAAGAGUCGAGUUGUUUGGGAAUGCAGCUCAAAAUGGGUGGUGAACUCCAUCUAAAGCUAAAUAUUGGCGAGAGACCGAUAGCGAACAAGUACCGUGAGGGAAAGAUGAAAAGCACUUUGGAAAGAGAGUGAAACAGUACGUGAAAUUGUUGAAAGGGAAACGCUUGAAGUCAGUCGCGUCGACCGAGACUCAGCCUCGCCUUGGCUUGGUGUACUUCUCGGGCGACGGGUCAGCAUCAAUUUUGCCCCUCGGAUAAUGACAAGGGAAAGGUAGCACCUUUAUGGGUGUGUUAUAGUCUCCUGUCGCAUGCGAGGGUUGGGAUUGAGGAACUCAGCACGCGCCUUUUGGCGUCGGGGCUUCGGCCUACGUACGUGCUUAGGAUGCUGGCAUAAUGGCUUUAAACGACCCGUCUUGAAACACGGACCAAGGAGUCUAACAUGCCCGCGAGUGUUCGGGUGGAAAACCCGUGCGCGUAAUGAAAGUAAAAGUUGGGACCUCUGUCGUGGAGAGCACCGACGCCCGGACCAGACCUUCUGUGACGGAUCUGCGGUAGAGCGUGCAUGUUGGGACCCGAAAGAUGGUGAACUAUGCUUGAAUAGGGUGAAGCCAGAGGAAACUCUGGUGGAGGCUCGUAGCGAUUCUGACGUGCAAAUCGAUCGUCAAAUUUGGGUAUAGGGGCGAAAGACUAAUCGAACCAUCUAGUAGCUGGUUCCUGC
This 984-nucleotide ribosomal RNA is filed under the name Russula adusta. RNAcentral describes it as "partial large subunit ribosomal RNA". It matches the Rfam family "Eukaryotic large subunit ribosomal RNA", at positions 1 to 961 of the family's 3401-position model. Lineage: Eukaryota; Fungi; Basidiomycota; Agaricomycetes; Russulales; Russulaceae. The record is from RNAcentral.